UCUCUGUGAUGAUGAAAAUAGAUGACGAGUCUGAUGUUAUCCAUUGUAUUAAACCAUGUGGACAAUCAAGGCAUUUGUCUUGAGAGAU
Molecule: small nucleolar RNA, 88 nt
Filed under: Triticum aestivum (bread wheat)
Lineage: Eukaryota; Viridiplantae; Streptophyta; Magnoliopsida; Poales; Poaceae
Also listed under: 1 other name
Description: snoRNA SNOR75
Rfam family: Plant small nucleolar RNA SNOR75
About the family: U15 is a member of the C/D class of snoRNA which contain the C (UGAUGA) and D (CUGA) box motifs.
Source: Rfam by way of RNAcentral